GACCUAUCAGCUUUCGACGGUAGUGUAUUGGACUACCGUGGCAGUGACGGGUAACGGGGAAUUAGGGUUCGAUUCCGGAGAGGGAGCCUGAGAAACGGCUACCACAUCUAAGGAAGGCAGCAGGCGCGCAAAUUACCCAAUCCUGACUCAGGGAGGUAGUGACAAGAAAUAACAACACUGGAAAUUUUAUUUCUAGUGAUUGGAAUGAUGGGAAUUUAAACCCCUUUCAGAGUAACAAUUGGAGGGCAAGUCUGGUGCCAGCAGCCGCGGUAAUUCCAGCUCCAAUAGCGUAUAUUAAAGUUGUUGCAGUUAAAAAGCUCGUAGUUGGAUGUCUGCUGGAAGCGAUCAGUCCGCCCUAUUUGUAGGGUGUGCACUUGAUGAAUUCUGGCAUCUUUGUCCCAAUGAUGUAGCGGGGCGGUGGUAUUCGGUGAAAGCCGAGUAUCCUGUUCCGAUUAUUGGGAUACUGUUACUUUGAGAAAAUUAGAGUGUUUGAAGCAGGCUAAUUGCCUUGAAUACUGCAGC
RNAcentral lists this ribosomal RNA (522 nucleotides) under Sarcocystis sp. RNAcentral describes it as "SSU rRNA". It matches the Rfam family "Eukaryotic small subunit ribosomal RNA", at positions 309 to 808 of the family's 1831-position model. The record is from RNAcentral. Lineage: Eukaryota; Apicomplexa; Conoidasida; Eucoccidiorida; Sarcocystidae.